This 1230-nucleotide ribosomal RNA is filed under the name metagenome. Its description in RNAcentral is "bacterial LSU rRNA". It matches the Rfam family "Bacterial large subunit ribosomal RNA", at positions 1629 to 2845 of the family's 2925-position model. The record is from RNAcentral.
AGUCAUAGAGUGACCGUACCGCAAACCGACACAGGUGGGCUGGUAGAGAAUACCAAGGCGCUUGAGAGAACUCAGGAGAAGGAACUCGGCAAAUUGAUACCGUAACUUCGGGAGAAGGUAUGCCCCCGGUACGUGAAGGCCCUCGCGGCCGGAGCGGAACGGGGUCGCAGAGAAUCGGUGGCUGCGACUGUUUAUUAAAAACACAGCACUCUGCAAACACGAAAGUGGACGUAUAGGGUGUGACGCCUGCCCGGUGCCGGAAGGUUAAGUGAUGGGGUGCAAGCUCUUGAUCGAAGCCCCGGUAAACGGCGGCCGUAACGAUAACGGUCCUAAGGUAGCGAAAUUCCUUGUCGGGUAAGUUCCGACCUGCACGAAUGGCGUAACGAUGGCCACACUGUCUCCUCCUGAGACUCAGCGAAGUUGAAAUGUUUGUGAAGAUGCAAUCUCCCCGCGGCUAGACGGAAAGACCCCAUGUACCUUUACUGUAGCUUUGCAUUGGACUCUGACGGGACUUGUGUAGGAUAGGUGGGAGGCUAUGAAACCGGGACGCCAGUUCCGGUGGAGCCAUCCUUGAAAUACCACCCUGGUGUCGUCGAGGUUCUAACCCAGGCCUGUGAAUCCAGGUCGGGGACCGUGCAUGGUGGGCAGUUUGACUGGGGCGGUCUCCUCCCAAAAGGUAACGGAGGAGUACGAAGGUCACCUAGGUACGGUCGGACAUCGUACUGAUAGUGCAAUGGCAAAAGGUGGCUUGACUGCGAGACCCACAAGUCGAGCAGGUGCGAAAGCAGGUCAUAGUGAUCCGGUGGUUCUGUAUGGAAGGGCCAUCGCUCAACGGAUAAAAGGUACUCUGGGGAUAACAGGCUGAUUCCGCCCAAGAGUUCACAUCGACGGCGGAGUUUGGCACCUCGAUGUCGGCUCAUCACAUCCUGGGGCUGUAGCCGGUCCCAAGGGUAUGGCUGUUCGCCAUUUAAAGUGGUACGUGAGCUGGGUUUAAAACGUCGUGAGACAGUUUGGUCCCUAUCUGCCGUGGGCGCUGGAAGUUUGAGAGGGCCUGCUCCUAGUACGAGAGGACCGGAGUGGACGCACCCCUGGUGUACCGGUUGUGACGCCAGUCGCAUCGCCGGGUAGCUAUGUGCGGAAGAGAUAACCGCUGAAAGCAUCUAAGCGGGGAACUCGCCUCAAGAUGAGACUUCCCCGGGGCCUCGAGCCCCCUGAAGGGUCGUUGAAGAC